This 492-nucleotide ribosomal RNA is filed under the name uncultured bacterium. RNAcentral describes it as "partial 16S ribosomal RNA". It matches the Rfam family "Bacterial small subunit ribosomal RNA", at positions 29 to 507 of the family's 1533-position model. The record is from RNAcentral.
AGUGAACGCUGGCGGUAGGCCUAACACAUGCAAGUCGAACGGCAGCACAGUAAGAGCUUGCUCUUACGGGUGGCGAGUGGCGGACGGGUGAGGAAUACAUCGGAAUCUACUUUUUCGUGGGGGAUAACGUAGGGAAACUUACGCUAAUACCGCAUACGACCUACGGGUGAAAGCAGGGGAUCUUCGGACCUUGCGCGAUUGAAUGAGCCGAUGUCGGAUUAGCUAGUUGGCGGGGUAAAGGCCCACCAAGGCGACGAUCCGUAGCUGGUCUGAGAGGAUGAUCAGCCACACUGGAACUGAGACACGGUCCAGACUCCUACGGGAGGCAGCAGUGGGGAAUAUUGCACAAUGGGCGAAAGCCUGAUCCAGCCAUACCGCGUGAGUGAAGAAGGCCUUCGGGUUGUAAAGCCCUUUUGUUAGGAAAGAAAAGCAGCAGGUUAAUACCCCGCUGUUCUGACGGUACCCAAAGAAUAAGCACCGGCUAACUUCGUG